Long non-coding RNA from Homo sapiens (human), 830 nucleotides. RefSeq lists it as uncharacterized. Lineage: Eukaryota; Metazoa; Chordata; Mammalia; Primates; Hominidae. The record is from RefSeq and is a predicted model, not a curated record. The transcript is spliced from 2 exons.
GUUCCCCUCCCUCCCCUUCCCUGUUCCCCUCCUUCCCGCUCCCUGUUCCCCUUCUACAGGAGAAUGGAGAACAGGCGUGGGAAAUGUUCCCAAAACGGGGGACUGCGCAGAAUUAAUUCUUAGAAAUAGAAUGGCUGAGUUAGAGGUUAGGCAUUUAAAGUUGAGUUCCAUAAUGCCAAAUUGCAAAAAAAAAAAAAAAAAUUGUAGACCAAAAAGUUGUCACCCAAACCAACGACAUAGCCCAUAAAUCCGCUGGGGAGGAAAGGUUAGCUAGAUGGGCUGCGCAUCGGUCCUGUGGAACACUGCACAGAGAUGAGGAAAUCAAGGCGGAGAAAAGUUGGAGAAUGUGUCCAAAGUCACACCGCCGGCAGCCAAAAGAGCCCGGGGGCUCACUCACAGAAGACACAGCCAACAGCGAUUGCUCUGGGAGAGAGGACCGGGGAAAAGUUAGUGCUGUUCACCGUACACGUUGCGCGCUAGUUGGAAUGGCUUUCACCACGUGCAAGCACUGCUUUUGCAAAUGCAUGAUUCUAAACAAUGCUCACCAACCCAGCCUUCAGUACAGUCCUAAAGUAACAGCCCAGAAACACACACUUCAGCCAGGACCCUCCAUGCUGCCUCCCAGAGCAGCCCAGCAGCUGGACAGCCUGAUGCCCUGGGCUGGAUCAGCAAGUCCUGGAUGCCUUUUACCUGCACCCAGCUCAUCCUCCAGGCCGCAGGACACACAGACUCCCGACCCUGGACUGGGGGCCAGAAGCCACCGAGCUGGAAGGGACAAGAGGUCUCCUGGCCCACCAUGUUUGUUUUCCCAAUAAAGAGGUUCCACAGUG